CUAGAAAAACAGGAGCCGAACCUGCACUGAAAAACUCAAAAUUUUUUGUACUUCAUUAUACUAUUUUCUA
RNAcentral lists this transfer RNA (70 nucleotides) under Siderolamprus enneagrammus. RNAcentral's name for it is "Celestus enneagrammus tRNA-Gln". Lineage: Eukaryota; Metazoa; Chordata; Lepidosauria; Squamata; Diploglossidae. The record is from RNAcentral.